CCUACGGGAGGCUGCAGUGGGGAAUAUUGCACAAUGGGGGCAACCCUGAUGCAGCGACGCCGCGUGAGUGAAGAAGUAAUUCGUUACGUAAAGCUCUAUCAGCCGGGAAGAAACACUGACCUUACGGUCAGCCGACGGUACCUGCGUAAGAAGCCCCGGCUAACUACGUGCCUGCAGCCGCGGUAAUACGUAGGGGGGAAGCGUGAUCCGGAUUUACUGGGGGUAAAGGGAUGGUAGACGGGGCGCCGAGUCUGGAGUGAAAUGCCGCAGGUUAACUGCGGGACUGCUUUGGACACUGGCGAACUAGAGUGCGUGAGGGGUAAGCGGAAUUCCUAGUGUAGCGGUGAAAUGCGUAGAUAUUAGGAGGAACACCGGUGGCGAAGGCGGCUUACUGGACCGUAACUGACGUUGAGGCACGAAAGCGUGGGGAGCGAACAGGAUUAGAUACCCCUGUAGUC
This 458-nucleotide ribosomal RNA is filed under the name uncultured bacterium. RNAcentral's name for it is "partial 16S ribosomal RNA". It matches the Rfam family "Bacterial small subunit ribosomal RNA", at positions 338 to 795 of the family's 1533-position model. The record is from RNAcentral.